Molecule: transfer RNA, 84 nt
Filed under: Thermoproteus tenax Kra 1
Lineage: Archaea; Thermoproteati; Thermoproteota; Thermoprotei; Thermoproteales; Thermoproteaceae
Also listed under: 2 other names
Description: tRNA-Ser (GGA) (tRNA-Ser-GGA-1-1)
Rfam family: tRNA
About the family: Transfer RNA (tRNA) molecules are approximately 80 nucleotides in length. Their secondary structure includes four short double-helical elements and three loops (D, anti-codon, and T loops). Further hydrogen bonds mediate the characteristic L-shaped molecular structure. tRNAs have two regions of fundamental functional importance: the anti-codon, which is responsible for specific mRNA codon recognition, and the 3' end, to which the tRNAs corresponding amino acid is attached (by aminoacyl-tRNA synthetases). tRNAs cope with the degeneracy of the genetic code in two manners: having more than one tRNA (with a specific anti-codon) for a particular amino acid; and 'wobble' base-pairing, i.e. permitting non-standard base-pairing at the 3rd anti-codon position.
Source: Rfam by way of RNAcentral
GCCGGGGUGGCCGAGCGGCCCAAGGCGCGGGCCUGGAGAGUCCGUCCCCGCAAGGGGGCGUGGGUUCAAAUCCCACCCCCGGCG